UUUAAAGGGGCCCUAUUAUGGUAUUAUUUACUGUUUAUUAUUUAAUUUGUUGGGUCUAAUAGAAUCGAUUUACAACGUUGAAGUGUCGUCGGCCAUAUUAUUUUUCAUCAUACGUCUAUCAGUAUUACAACCCCUAUGUGAAACGCCCGGUUGCUGAGAAUUUUGAGGGAGUUAGAAUCUUGGCGCUGACAGAAACGUCUCGUCAGACAUUUGUAAGUUAGGCGAUUAUGGCGUCAGUGCUGCCUUACCAAUUUGAACCAGAAUCCGACCCCGAAAGCGAUAAUGGAGCUGAUGGAGCCAAUGAUGAGCGCGAUGUUAGUCGUAGAUUGGACCAAGACGUUUCACUGUGGUGCACUUGUGGGAAUUGUGCCACUAUGCCUAGUGAAGUGGAGAACGUCUGCUGCAGAGAAAUCACAAAGGUAGUAAGACGAAUGAGCCAAGUGCCAAUACCCAUAAUGUGCAUGACAGAACAUCCAGGCCUAGAACCUGUGUGUCUAAACCCAUACAGUCUGCAAAAUAUCUACAACAUUUACAAAUAUGAUUACGGACCUGUUAGGCACAGAACAGAAGAAGAAUAAUAUCAAUCAACUUGCUGUUUUGUUGUUUUGAUUGAGUAAAGGCGUUUGAGGCAUCUUGCCUAUCGCAGCUUUGUAAGCUGGUGCUGGGGCUACUUAGGACCUAGUCGUCGGGUCAUCAUCCCGUCAUGUGUGGUGCAGCGGAUACGGCAGCAGUUCCCGUCUGGUGAUUACAUAGGCUUCAGACCACCUAUUGAUUGAAGCGGGAGACGUGACGGGCAACCAGCUCAGCCUUUGGAGUUUUCGGGAAUUCUGCUGAGAGGUCUGGAGGGAUGGGGAUGGUCUUCAAUUCCUCUGCAAAAGAUGUAGGGUCCUCAAAAACUUCCUGCAUGAGCAGCCUCAUGAGUUCACGUACAUAGUCUGGAAGAUAUAGCAUUCAAAUCCAAUAAAUGUAUCCAUAACAAUCUGUAAA
This is an RNA transcript of Alosa sapidissima (American shad), 987 nucleotides long. It is a transcript of the gene named P2X purinoceptor 7-like, with no coding region annotated. The transcript has 5 exons. NCBI's taxonomy places the organism in Eukaryota, Metazoa, Chordata, Actinopteri, Clupeiformes, Clupeidae. The record is from RefSeq and is a predicted model, not a curated record.